CUGGGUUGUCUCUGCUUCGCGCGUGAGUAAUGCCASGARUCUGCCUGGUAAUGGGGGAUAACGUCCGGAAACGGGCGCUAAUACCGCAUACGUCCUGAGGGAGAAAGUGGGGGAUCUUCGGACCUCACGCUAUCAGAUGAGCCUAGGUCGGAUUAGCUAGUUGGUGGGGUAAAGGCCUACCAAGGCGACGAUCCGUAACUGGUCUGAGAGGAUGAUCAGUCACACUGGAACUGAGACACGGUCCAGACUCCUACGGGAGGCAGCAGUGGGGAAUAUUGGACAAUGGGCGAAAGCCUGAUCCAGCCAUGCCGCGUGUGUGAAGAAGGUCUUCGGAUUGUAAAGCACUUUAAGUUGGGAGGAAGGGCAGUAAGUUAAUACCUUGCUGUUUUGACGUUACCAACAGAAUAAGCACCGGCUAACUUCGUGCCAGCAGCCGCGGUAAUACGAGGGUGCAAGCGUUAAUCGGAAUUACUGGGCGUAAAGCGCGCGUAGGUGGUUCAGCAAGUUGGAUGUGAAAUCCCCGGGCUCAACCUGGGAACUGCAUCCAAAACUACUGAGCUAGAGUACGGGUAGAGGGUGGUGGAAUUUCCUGUGUACCGGUGAAAUGCGUAGAUAUGAAAGGAACCAGUGGCGAAAGCGAACCACCUGGACGAUACUGGACUGA
RNAcentral lists this ribosomal RNA (664 nucleotides) under Pseudomonas aeruginosa. Its description in RNAcentral is "bacterial SSU rRNA". The record is from RNAcentral. Lineage: Bacteria; Pseudomonadati; Pseudomonadota; Gammaproteobacteria; Pseudomonadales; Pseudomonadaceae.